Molecule: long non-coding RNA, 983 nt
Organism: Silurus meridionalis
Lineage: Eukaryota; Metazoa; Chordata; Actinopteri; Siluriformes; Siluridae
Exons: 3
Source: RefSeq, a predicted model, not a curated record
GAGUAAAGUCAGACAGAGAAAAGAGAGAAAGAGAGGGAGAGAGGGAGAGGUGGGUUAUACUGAGUUAAACCGGGUUAUUUUUUCCUCCUUCCCCCCAAAUAGCCCUGUGAUGUCACACUGUAUAACGGCGGCCAUUUUGAGGACACGGUGUCACUGUGUCUGUGCGCCGUUACGGAGAUUUUGCUUUAUUUAGAACAUCAGGACUGCAUCUGUUUCUUUUUUCUGCUGACUCAGCAGUACAGGCGGUGCAGGGAGUCGGGCUCCAGCCCAGCGUUUCCACAGUUCGGUGUUGAAUUCGCUGAAACGUUGUGAUCUCAGCCAGCGGAAAUGGAGCAGUAUGAGUAUUGAUUAAAAGCAAUGCUGCAUUGGCUCAGAUCACUGAUCCUCAUCUCCUAUUGAGGGACUGAGGGACUGAGGGACUUUUAUCAGGUUCAUGAUAAAACCUUUAACUCACUGAAUAAAACCAAAAAAAAAGGAAAAAGGUUGAAGGUUUCUGAGUUUCCAGUUUGUUGUUUGGUUGUAGGUCGAACCUUUACAAUGUUCAGCUUUGGCUUUGUAAAAAAAAAAUUAUAAUAAUAAUCUAGUGGAACUUCUUCCCAGAAGAAUGGAGGUUAUUACAACAGCAAAUGGGGAUUAAAUGUGGAAUCAGGUGGUGCAUAAAGCGUAUCCCGAUCUGAUGCUCAGGGAUCUAUUACAGGAAAUGUUUAAAUAAAUAAGUUAGGUCGAUUUGUAGAAAACUUUGAUGUUUCCAAGUUUCAAAUGAAGUUUCCAUCAUUACUAAUUAGAACCAAGUUCUGAGAGGAAAACUUGAGGGACCAUUUCUAUAUACUAAUUAGCAUACUAUGUAGCACUAUGAGAAAUCCAGAUUUUUAUUGUGGUAUUUUUUAUACUUUUUAUAACUGUACUAUGACUUUCAUACUACAGUGACAUAGUAAUUAGUAUGGUAGUAUAAAGUCUAUUAUAUUAUUAUAUACUUUUUAGUA